CAAGAAUGUUUUCAUUAAUCAACAAUGAAAGUCGGAGGUUAGAAGACGAUCAGAUACCGCUGUAGUUCCGACCAUAAACGAUGCCAACUAGCAAUCCGGCGGCGUUAUUUCCAUCCUCGCAGGGACAGCCAGUCCCA
Molecule: long non-coding RNA, 137 nt
Organism: Thalassophryne amazonica
Lineage: Eukaryota; Metazoa; Chordata; Actinopteri; Batrachoidiformes; Batrachoididae
Exons: 3
Source: RefSeq, a predicted model, not a curated record